Molecule: ribosomal RNA, 248 nt
Filed under: Skeletonema marinoi
Lineage: Eukaryota; Bacillariophyta; Thalassiosirophyceae; Thalassiosirales; Thalassiosiraceae
Description: partial 28S ribosomal RNA
Rfam family: Eukaryotic large subunit ribosomal RNA
Source: RNAcentral
GGUUUGGGCGCUGUGGUUAGCUGUACUAAUUCUGGGCUUGAUCUGGGGCAAACGUUAGUGAGUAGACGACUCUUCGGAGUGAGUGCUCACUUUUCAUAUCCUGGGUCGGGCUGAGGUCAGUCACUCUGUGCUCGUGAUGAAUUAGAAAAUGGUUUUCUUUACCCCGUCUUGAAACACGGACCAAGGAGUCUAACAUAUGUGCAAGUACGUCAGUGGCAAACUGAUAUGCGUAAUGAAAGUAACAGUGA